This 401-nucleotide ribosomal RNA is filed under the name uncultured bacterium. Its description in RNAcentral is "bacterial SSU rRNA". It matches the Rfam family "Bacterial small subunit ribosomal RNA", at positions 28 to 430 of the family's 1533-position model. The record is from RNAcentral.
GAUGAACGCUGGCGGCAUGCCUUACACAUGCAAGUCGAACGGCAGCACGGGAGCAAUCCUGGUGGCGAGUGGCGAACGGGUGAGUAAUAUAUCGGAACGUGCCCGGUCGUGGGGAUAACGUAGCGAAAGCUACGCUAAUACCGCAUACGAUCUACGGAUGAAAGCGGGGGAUCGCAAGACCUCGCGCGAUUGGAGCGGCCGAUAUCAGAUUAGGUAGUUGGUGAGGUAAAGGCUCACCAAGCCAACGAUCUGUAGCUGGUCUGAGAGGACGACCAGCCACACUGGAACUGAGACACGGUCCAGACUCCUACGGGAGGCAGCAGUGGGGAAUUUUGGACAAUGGGCGCAAGCCUGAUCCAGCAAUGCCCGCGUGCAGGAUGAAGGCCUUCGGGUUGGUAAAC